This 495-nucleotide ribosomal RNA is filed under the name uncultured bacterium. Its description in RNAcentral is "partial 16S ribosomal RNA". It matches the Rfam family "Bacterial small subunit ribosomal RNA", at positions 30 to 507 of the family's 1533-position model. The record is from RNAcentral.
UGACCGCUGGCGGCGUGCCUAAUACAUGCAAGUCGAGCGACCAGACGAGGAGCUUGCUCCUCUGACGUUAGCGGCGGACGGGUGAGUAACACGUGGAUAACCUACCUAUAAGACUGGGAUAACUUCGGGAAACCGGAGCUAAUACCGGAUAAUAUAUUGAACCGCAUGGUUCAAUAGUGAAAGACGGUUUUGCUGUCACUUAUAGAUGGAUCCGCGCCGCAUUAGCUAGUUGGUAAGGUAACGGCUUACCAAGGCGACGAUGCGUAGCCGACCUGAGAGGGUGAUCGGCCACACUGGAACUGAGACACGGUCCAGACUCCUACGGGAGGCAGCAGUAGGGAAUCUUCCGCAAUGGGCGAAAGCUUGACGGAGCAACGCCGCGUGAGUGAUGAAGGUCUUCGGAUCGUAAAACUCUGUUAUUAGGGAAGAACAAAUGUGUAAGUAACUAUGCACGUCUUGACGGUACCUAAUCAGAAAGCCACGGCUAACUACGUG